GACCAUCCUCCAAGGCUAAAUACUCCUGACUGACCGAUAGUGAACCAGUACCGUGAGGGAAAGGCGAAAAGAACCCCGGCGAGGGGAGUGAAAAAGAACCUGAAACCGUGUACGUACAAGCAGUGGGAGCACCCUUUGGGGUGUGACUGCGUACCUUUUGUAUAAUGGGUCAGCGACUUAUAUUCUGUAGCAAGGUUAACCGAAUAGGGGAGCCGGAGGGAAACCGAGUCUUAACCGGGCGUUAAGUUGCAGGGUAUAGACCCGAAACCCGGUGAUCUAGCCAUGGGCAGGUUGAAGGUUGGGUAACACUAACUGGAGGACCGAACCGACUAAUGUUGAAAAAUUAGCGGAUGACCUGUGGCUGGGGGUGAAAGGCCAAUCAAACCGGGAGAUAGCUGGUUCUCCCCGAAAGCUAUUUAGGUAGCGCCUCGUGAAUUCAUCUCCGGGGGUAGAGCACUGUUUCGGCUAGGGGGCCAUCCCGGCUUACCAACCCGAUGCAAACUGCGAAUACCGGAGAAUGUUAUCACGGGAGACACACGGCGGGUGCUAACGUCCGUCGUGAAGAGGGAAACAACCCAGACCGCCAGCUAAGGUCCCAAAGUCAUGGUUAAGUGGGAAACGAUGUGGGAAGGCCCAGACAGCCAGGAUGUUGGCUUAGAAGCAGCCAUCAUUUAAAGAAAGCGUAAUAGCUCACUGGUCGAGUCGGCCUGCGCGGAAGAUGUAACGGGGCUAAACCAUGCACCGAAGCUGCGGCAGCGACACUGUGUGUUGUUGGGUAGGGGAGCGUUCUGUAAGCCUGUGAAGGUGGCCUGUGAGGGUUGCUGGAGGUAUCAGAAGUGCGAAUGCUGACAUAAGUAACGAUAAAGCGGGUGAAAAGCCCGCUCGCCGGAAGACCAAGGGUUCCUGUCCAACGUUAAUCGGGGCAGGGUGAGUCGACCCCUAAGGCGAGGCCGAAAGGCGUAGUCGAUGGGAAACGGGUUAAUAUUCCCGUACUUGGUGUUACUGCGAAGGGGGGACGGAGAAGGCUAUGUUGGCCGGGCGACGGUUGUCCCGGUUUAAGCGUGUAGGUGUGUGUUCCAGGUAAAUCCGGUUCACUUUAACACUGAGGCGUGACGACGAGGCACUACGGUGCUGAAGCAACAAAUGCCCUGCUUCCAGGAAAAGCCUCUAAGCAUCAGGUAACAUCAAAUCGUACCCCAAACCGACACAGGUGGUCAGGUAGAGAAUACCAAGGCGCUUGAGAGAACUCGGGUGAAGGAACUAGGCAAAAUGGUGCCGUAACUUCGGGAGAAGGCACGCUGACACGUAGGUGAAGUGAUUUACUCAUGGAGCUGAAGUCAGUCGAAGAUACCAGCUGGCUGCAACUGUUUAUUAAAAACACAGCACUGUGCAAACACGAAAGUGGACGUAUACGGUGUGACGCCUGCCCGGUGCCGGAAGGUUAAUUGAUGGGGUCAGCGCAAGCGAAGCUCCUGAUCGAAGCCCCGGUAAACGGCGGCCGUAACUAUAACGGUCCUAAGGUAGCGAAAUUCCUUGUCGGGUAAGUUCCGACCUGCACGAAUGGCGUAAUGAUGGCCAGGCUGUCUCCACCCGAGACUCAGUGAAAUUGAACUCGCUGUGAAGAUGCAGUGUACCCGCGGCAAGACGGAAAGACCCCGUGAACCUUUACUAUAGCUUGACACUGAACAUUGAGCCUUGAUGUGUAGGAUAGGUGGGAGGCUUUGAAGUGUGGACGCCAGUCUGCAUGGAGCCGACCUUGAAAUACCACCCUUUAAUGUUUGAUGUUCUAACGUGGACCCGUGAUCCGGGUUGCGGACAGUGUCUGGUGGGUAGUUUGACUGGGGCGGUCUCCUCCUAAAGAGUAACGGAGGAGCACGAAGGUUGGCUAAUCCUGGUCGGACAUCAGGAGGUUAGUGCAAUGGCAUAAGCCAGCUUGACUGCGAGCGUGACGGCGCGAGCAGGUGCGAAAGCAGGUCAUAGUGAUCCGGUGGUUCUGAAUGGAAGGGCCAUCGCUCAACGGAUAAAAGGUACUCCGGGGAUAACAGGCUGAUACCGCCCAAGAGUUCAUAUCGACGGCGGUGUUUGGCACCUCGAUGUCGGCUCAUCACAUCCUGGGGCUGAAGUAGGUCCCAAGGGUAUGGCUGUUCGCCAUUUAAAGUGGUACGCGAGCUGGGUUUAGAACGUCGUGAGACAGUUCGGUCCCUAUCUGCCGUGGGCGCUGGAGAACUGAGGGGGGCUGCUCCUAGUACGAGAGGACCGGAGUGGACGCAUCACUGGUGUUCGGGUUGUCAUGCCAAUGGCACUGCCCGGUAGCUAAAUGCGGAAGAGAUAAGUGCUGAAAGCAUCUAAGCACGAAACUUGCCCCGAG
Molecule: ribosomal RNA, 2368 nt
Filed under: Salmonella enterica subsp. enterica serovar Newport
Lineage: Bacteria; Pseudomonadati; Pseudomonadota; Gammaproteobacteria; Enterobacterales; Enterobacteriaceae
Description: partial 23S ribosomal RNA
Rfam family: Bacterial large subunit ribosomal RNA
Source: RNAcentral